AUGGAGGGCUACUUGCAGUCAUAUGCAUCCCUCUGCGGCCUUGCACUUAUUGUUGCAGGGUGGCUGGUGCACUGGGUGUACAAGUGGAACAAUCCUCCGUGCAACAUUGGGAGGCUUCCUCCUGGAUCCAUGGGCUUCCCUCUCGUUGGCGAGUCCUUACAGUUCAUGAGGCCAAGCCCUUCUCUCGACAUCUCAGGCUUCUACAAGCAAAGGCUGAAAAGGUACGGCACGUUGUUCAAGACGAACCUGGUUGGACACCCGGUGGUGGUGUCCAUGGGCGCGGACGUGAACCGCUUCAUCUUCCAGCAGGAAGGCAAGCUGUUCCGGAGCUGGUACCCGGACACGGCCAACAGCAUCUUCGGAAAGGACAGCAUGGCCAACUGCGACGGCUCCGUCCACAAGUACGUCCGCAGCUUCGCGGCCAGGCUCUUCGGCCCCGACAGCCUCCGGGACGUGCUCCUCGCUGAGAUAGGGCGCAGCGUGACGCAGAACCUUGCUGCAUGGGCCGCGGAGCCUGUCAUCGAGGUCAAGGACGCCAUGGCCACGAUGAUAUUUGACCACACGGCCAAGAAGCUUAUUGGUUUUGGCCCCGAAAAGUCAAGGAAACUUAGGAAGAACUUUGAUGCCUUCUUCCAGGGAAUGGUUUCCUUCCCGCUGUAUUUUCCUAUUCUACGGAUGUAUACAGGGAAGGAAAAACGUGCAAAAGGUACUCACGGACCUACUAAAAGAAAGGCUCAGUACACCUCAGAAGCGACACGGUGA
This 762-nucleotide ribosomal RNA is filed under the name Triticum aestivum (bread wheat). Its description in RNAcentral is "partial small subunit ribosomal RNA". Lineage: Eukaryota; Viridiplantae; Streptophyta; Magnoliopsida; Poales; Poaceae. The record is from RNAcentral.